This 521-nucleotide ribosomal RNA is filed under the name uncultured bacterium. RNAcentral describes it as "bacterial SSU rRNA". It matches the Rfam family "Bacterial small subunit ribosomal RNA", at positions 15 to 518 of the family's 1533-position model. The record is from RNAcentral.
GAUCAUGGCUCAGAACGAACGCUGGCGGCGCGUCUUAAGCAUGCAAGUCGGACGGCAAGAUGAGAGCUUGCUCUCAUCCUAGAGUGGCGGACUGGUGAGUAACACGUGGGUGACGUACCCCCCGGGACGGGGGAUAGCUCCUAGAAAUAGGAGGUAAUACCGGAUACGACCGCAGACGUAGGGGUCUGCGAGGAAAGGAGCUCUGGCUCCGCCCGGGGAACGGCCUGCGGCCCAUUAGCUAGUUGGUGUGGUAACGGCAUACCAAGGCGGCGAUGGGUAUCCGGCCUGAGAGGGUGAACGGACACAUUGGGACUGAGAUACGGCCCAGACUCCUACGGGAGGCAGCAGCUAAGAAUAUUCCGCAAUGGACGAAAGUCUGACGGAGCGAACCGCCGCGUGGAUGAAGAAGGCCGGAAGGUUGUAAAAUCCUUUUAAACGGGAAGAAUAAGUCCUGCAGGGAAUGGCAGGGCGGUGACGGUACCGUUUGAAUAAGCAACGGCUAAUUACGUGCCAGCCGCCGC